This 500-nucleotide ribosomal RNA is filed under the name uncultured bacterium. RNAcentral describes it as "partial 16S ribosomal RNA". It matches the Rfam family "Bacterial small subunit ribosomal RNA", at positions 28 to 507 of the family's 1533-position model. The record is from RNAcentral.
GACGAACGCUGGCGGCGUGCCUAAUACAUGCAAGUCGAGCGGACUGAUUAAGAGCUUGCUCUUAUCACGUUAGCGGCGGACGGGUGAGUAACACGUGGGCAACCUGCCCUGUAGAUCGGGAUAACACCGAGAAAUCGGUGCUAAUACCGGGUAAUAUCUGAGAUCACAUGAUCUUAGGUUAAAAGAUGGCUCCGGCUAUCACUACAGGAUGGGCCCGCGGCGCAUUGGCUAGUGGGUAAGGUAAUGGCUUACCAAGGCGACGAUGCGUAGCCGACCUGAGAGGGUGAUCGGCCACACUGGGACGGAGACACGGCCCAGACUCCUACGGGAGGCAGCAGUAGGGAAUCUUCCGCAAUGGACGAAAGUCUGACGGAGCAACGCCGCGUGAGUGAUGAAGGGUUUCGGCUCGUAAAGCUCUGUUGUUAGGGAAGAAACAGUACCGAACGAACUAGGUCGGUACCUUGACGGUACCUAACCAGAAAGCCACGGCUAACUACGUG